Long non-coding RNA from Aegilops tauschii subsp. strangulata, 1420 nucleotides. RefSeq lists it as uncharacterized. Lineage: Eukaryota; Viridiplantae; Streptophyta; Magnoliopsida; Poales; Poaceae. The record is from RefSeq and is a predicted model, not a curated record.
GAAAAUUCCAACUCUAGCUUUUCUUCAUGAGCUUUUAUCAUAGCUUCUACAAUAUGUUUAGUGAACGCUUUAUUUUGUUCAUAAGCAUUGGGUGAAUUUACCAUGGAUUGCAACCAGUGGCGGAUGUACAGGGUGGCCAAGGUGGGCCGAUUUGAAUGUGCCUAUAUACCUACUAUAUCUCUAAUUGGGACAAAGAGAAAAAACGGCCCAUUAUUAAACACAUUAAGCUAUGCAUGAAGGGCGGCCAACCAGCUAUGCCACAUGGCGCAAGCUAGUUGGCUGCGGUGAGAAAUCUUUUAGAAUUUUUUUUAGAUGAAGGUGUGGAUUAUUUUUUAAAUGGAUUUUUUUAUACGAUGGAGAUGAGGGCCUUUGGUAUUUUUUAAAUGAGGGGUUAUGCAAAGUGGCACUCGCCGGUAGGCUGCGGUGGUAUUUUUUUCUUUUUUUACAUGAAGGUAAGGAUUUUUCUGAGAUGUUUUUUUAGACGGAGGCAAGGACUCUAUGUAUUAUUUUGAAAUGAAAAUGUGCGCACAUCUUUCUCUCAAGCGGCGCCACAUGGUGGCACCCCAACCACUAGUUAACUUAUCCAAGGAUGAACACAUCACGGCCUGUCCAAGCACGAGCAGAACCCUCAUCUCGCCCGGUCGCCCCCCUCGCACAGAAACUACUCUGCGGCUCUGCCCGACCCCGACACCUAGCCGGCCAACCGCAUCGCCGUCGCCAUUCCUCGCGACUUCGUCGGUCGCCGGCCGGAGCCCAAAGUUCAGCCGCCCAGGAGGCUCCUGCCUCCCCUAGUCCCCUUCCUGUCUUCCCGCUCGGCCGCCCACCUGGUCCAGCUGCGACCCUGCCCUGCGGGCGGCUGCGCCCCUACAGACUGCGUUCUCGGCGUCCUGCUGGCCCGCCCGCCCCCCUACAGAGCCCCACCAUGGCGGCAAACCCCUGGCCAAUUUAAGGUACCGGCUAUGUGUAUUGACUUUACUGGCUAUAACAGGAUAUGCUCAAUUGUGCUGAAUGAAAAGUUGUCGGCUUACAAGAGCGGCUGAAAAAUGAAAGAAGUACGGGUGAAAAGGCCGAGUCAUCAACUGGUUCUUUGGAUAAAUCUUUAUUAAUUGCUUCUGAAAAUUUGAGCUCUUUAAAGACCUCUCAUCAGGAAGAAAAAUCAUCAUUGUGGAAGCGUGCUGAGGACACAGAGGGCCGGCUUGAGCCGGUCACUGCGGAGCUAAACAUGUUGAAGUGCCAUAUUACCCAUAUGACGCCAGCUAUCUUUGGUACGAGAAGUGGAAAUCUUCGCCAGACACCUCUGGUGAACUUAAAAGCCGUAUACACCUUCAUUGAGUAGCUGUAUGCAGGGAGCCUGUUUACCAUAAUGGUUGUGAAGGGUGGACAAGAGCCACCACAAUUAAUAAAAGAUGUGCUGAAACAA